GUAGGGAAUAUUGCACAAUGGGGGAAACCCUGAUGCAGCGACGCCGCGUGAGUGAUGAAGGCCUUCGGGUCGUAAAGCUCUGUCGUAUGGGACUAACACAAUGAAGGUACCAUGCAAGAAAGGAUCGGCUAACUUCGUGCCAGCAGCCGCGGUAAGACGAGGGAUCCUAGCGUUGUUCGGAAUCAUUGGGCGUAAAGCGGGUGUAGGCGGAUUUAUAAGUCAGGUGUGAAAUCCCAGGACUCAACCCUGGAAGUGCACUUGAUACUGUAAAUCGUGAGUGUGGUAGAGGUUACUGGAAUUGUUGGUGUAGUGGUGAAAUACGUAGAUAUCAACAGGAAUACCGGAGGCGAAGGCGAGUAACUGGGCCAACACUGACGCUGAGACCCGAAAGCGUGGGGAUCAAACAGGAUUAGAAACCCGAGUAGUCC
RNAcentral lists this ribosomal RNA (428 nucleotides) under uncultured bacterium. RNAcentral's name for it is "partial 16S ribosomal RNA". It matches the Rfam family "Bacterial small subunit ribosomal RNA", at positions 354 to 796 of the family's 1533-position model. The record is from RNAcentral.